UUUGUGGGGCUUGUAGCAGGUAUUUAAAAACAGCAACGGGCGAAGCAGACGCGUCUUCCUCUCGCGCUCUCCAGUAAUGUCACUUCCGAAAAUCCUUUAUCAAACACUUUCUUCACAGAAUGGACUUUUUAAGACGUGAAAUCUUCUGCAAACUAUUUUUUUUUUGUGUGUUAUGCCAUGCCGUUUGGACUUUGGAUCAACAUCAGGAGAAGUGGGCAUCCUGAGGAAUGAAAUGGAUAACACUUAUGAUAUGAUGUCUUGAAUUCAGGUCAGUGCUAAAUCACAUCACGUCCGUAGUCAUACAUUCAUGGAUCAUCCACAUUCAUCCACCUGUGCCAAACCAAAGACAAAAAUCAGUCUAGUCAGACGUUCACCCAGUAACCUUUGCAUAAAUAACAAGCUCAUCAAAGACAUUAAGAGAAAGUACACAUGAGAAGGACCAUAUGCACAGAAACAAGACACACAUACGAAAGCAAUGCAUGCUUGCACGUCCCACUGAUACACAUAGAAAGGUGUCUGUCACUGUUAAUAUCAUUCUGUCUGCUAAGUGAACCUCUCAGUCACCUCUCAUUUCCUUCUCCUCAUCAUCAUUCUGGCUCUCCUUUUUUACUCUUUCACACACAAGUAGACACAUCAUCAUCAUCAUCAUCGUCAUCAUCUCACACAUAUCACCAUCACUGGACAUGCACACCAUGCAUAUCCAGAAAUGGAGAGAUGCUCUUUCUGAGUGAAAGAUGGAGAGAUGACAAGUAAGAGGGGAGAACACAAGAAGCACAUUAGUUAUCGCUCUCUCCCUUUCACAUCCCAUUAGAGUUACACUCUUCCAUCUGCUCCCUCACUCUUCUUCACCUCUAACAGUCUGUUCUGCUGCACUUUAGUACAGCGGCCUACCUGACUAAAUGACACUUCACACCACACACACACACAGAUGACCUGCUGAAAUAUUUACAAAGCUGCAGGAUGGGGAAAAAAAACAAAGAUUGAUGGAAUAAAAGU
This is a long non-coding RNA of Cyprinus carpio (common carp), 996 nucleotides long. RefSeq lists it as uncharacterized. The record is from RefSeq and is a predicted model, not a curated record. The transcript is spliced from 3 exons. Lineage: Eukaryota; Metazoa; Chordata; Actinopteri; Cypriniformes; Cyprinidae.